Molecule: long non-coding RNA, 468 nt
Organism: Anneissia japonica
Lineage: Eukaryota; Metazoa; Echinodermata; Crinoidea; Comatulida; Comatulidae
Exons: 3
Source: RefSeq, a predicted model, not a curated record
AUCAUUUUAUCAUUUAUAUCAUCAUCAAUUAGAAUAUUUACGAAUAUGUAUGUAUAUGCAAAUUGAACUAACACUUAGGUCAAUAUUGUUGUUUAAUUAUGUUGAUUAUAUGCAAAUGUAGCGGAACCACAGGUAAGUUACUAACACAGCAAGACAUCGCUUCGAGCAUCCAAGCAUCAAAUCAAAAAAAAAUCUGGUGAUUUUUGAUAAUGAUGCUUGCGGACAUAAUCUAACAUACUGAUUGAAAAAAUCUAUGUUUUGAUAAUGCGUGUGAAUUUCCUAAUAAAUCCCAUCAAUAUGCUAUAUGUAAGCUCGUGCUUCUCCUCCUGUUGGAGAACUAUCAACUUUGAACUAUAGGACGAUUAUAACGAUGAGAUGCGGAUAACGAGGAUGAUGUUGGUGUAGUGAUGGCGAUAUUGAAGAUGCUGAUGAUAACGAUUAUAAUGAAAUGGUAGACCUGUAGGCUAA